This is a long non-coding RNA of Quercus lobata, 273 nucleotides long. RefSeq lists it as uncharacterized. The transcript has 3 exons. The record is from RefSeq and is a predicted model, not a curated record. NCBI's taxonomy places the organism in Eukaryota, Viridiplantae, Streptophyta, Magnoliopsida, Fagales, Fagaceae.
CAGGUUCCUCCCAUCAUCUACACUUGCAGCUUCAUUGUAUCUGUUAUUCUACAGGAGAUUGCAUGGACUGGCCAACGCCUGAAGGCCUACUACUCUGCUGGUGGCAUUAUUUGGAUAUUUUCUGAUGCAGCAAUCAUUUUCUUACCUAGAAGCAUGAGUGCUUUCAUGUACAUAAUAUCAAUAUUUAUUGGUGUCGCAAAUGCUUUGAUGAUGGUUCCCAUUUGUUAAAAAAGUAUCAUGAUGGGAAAUAGUAUUGAAGAUGAUGAUGAUGAU